CUCCCAAAGCCUCUCAAUGAUGCUCAAAUCUGGGGGG
This 37-nucleotide non-coding RNA is filed under the name Bacteroides sp. CAG:633. Its description in RNAcentral is "abiF RNA". It matches the Rfam family "abiF RNA". Lineage: Bacteria; Pseudomonadati; Bacteroidota; Bacteroidia; Bacteroidales; Bacteroidaceae. RNAcentral also lists the same sequence under 1 other name. The record is from Rfam by way of RNAcentral.